Molecule: non-coding RNA, 70 nt
Filed under: unclassified sequences
Description: L13-Bacteroidia ribosomal protein leader
Rfam family: L13-Bacteroidia ribosomal protein leader
Source: RNAcentral
AGCCCUUAAUGGGCUCUCUUUCUGCGUGUUAAUAGCUUUUCUCUUGGCCUGGGAAAGCGGUUAGUGAAUC